GAUGAAGAACGUAGCGAAAUGCGAUAAGUAAUGUGAAUUGCAGAAUUCAGUGAAUCAUCGAAUCUUUGAACGCACCUUGCGCUCCUUGGUAUUCCGAGGAGCAUGCCUGUUUGAGUGUCAUUAAAUUCUCAAUCAUUAUCAACUUUUGCUGAUAAUGGCUUGGAUGUGGGGGUCUAUUUUGCUGGCUUCUCAGAUAGUCAGCUCCCCUUAAAUGCAUUAGCCGGUGCCCCGCGUGGACUGUCUAUUGGUGUGAUAAUUAUCUACGCUAUAGACAUCUGCAAUCAUAUGGGUUUGCGCUGCUUCUAACAGUCUGUUGAUUCAGACAAUACAUGACAAUUUGACCACAAAUCAGGUAGGACUACCCGCUGAACUUAAGCAUAUCAAUAAGCGGAGGA
This 395-nucleotide unclassified non-coding RNA is filed under the name soil metagenome. RNAcentral describes it as "partial contains 5.8S ribosomal RNA, internal transcribed spacer 2, and large subunit ribosomal RNA". The stretch from base 1 to 120 matches the Rfam family "5.8S ribosomal RNA", at positions 35 to 154 of the family's 154-position model. The record is from RNAcentral.